ACCAACUCUGUUGCGCUGUGCACUGCCGUGCGUUUAACCCAGGCGCGGAGGAGGAGGAGAAAAUCCCCCCAGAUCCGGGCAGGUUUCUCUGCCUUUUGGGCCCUGCACAACUGUUAGCCUGGUGGAAAAGUGCAAAUUGCUCCUGCUCUCCCAGCAGAUUGGUCCUGCUUUGCUUGCAGCCUCAGCAGAAUUUUGAGCCUGAGCUGAAGCGCCUCACUUGGACGUGCACGCACCCCACUUGGGCACGUCUGGAUCAGA
Molecule: long non-coding RNA, 258 nt
Filed under: Bos mutus (wild yak)
Lineage: Eukaryota; Metazoa; Chordata; Mammalia; Artiodactyla; Bovidae
Description: lncRNA (ENSBMUG00000019226.1)
Source: RNAcentral